CAGGAAAUACUGCUACACAACCUUGAACUACUUCACACAUCGAAAAAGAACACGUACUCUUUCUCUACCAAAAGUGAAUUUAUCAGUUACACAUACAAGGCUCCACAAGCAGACAAACAGAAGAGCAGAGAAGGAGAGAAGAGAAGGAGCUUCUUAAUGUCAAGAGGAGCUAGGCUGGGGACAGUAGGAGAGGAGAUUGGCCACUGCAUGGCCAAACUCCAGGUGACGAUCAUCUUCCCAUUCCAUCCCCCUUCCAGCUCCCCAUCC
RNAcentral lists this long non-coding RNA (267 nucleotides) under Homo sapiens (human). RNAcentral describes it as "HSALNT0373321". The record is from RNAcentral. Lineage: Eukaryota; Metazoa; Chordata; Mammalia; Primates; Hominidae.